GGGAAUGUAAAUCAGUAGUAGAGUGCUUGCCUAGCAUGCAUGAGGCUCUGGGUUCCAUCCCCAGCACUGCCA
RNAcentral lists this transfer RNA (72 nucleotides) under Cavia porcellus (domestic guinea pig). It matches the Rfam family "tRNA". From Rfam's summary of the family: Transfer RNA (tRNA) molecules are approximately 80 nucleotides in length. Lineage: Eukaryota; Metazoa; Chordata; Mammalia; Rodentia; Caviidae. The record is from Rfam by way of RNAcentral.